AGCCCGGUCGUCUAGCGGUCAAGGAUAUUCGGCUCUGGACCGAAUGACGGAGGUUCGAAUCCUCCCCGGGCUA
RNAcentral lists this transfer RNA (73 nucleotides) under Candidatus Aenigmatarchaeota archaeon. RNAcentral describes it as "tRNA-Gln". It matches the Rfam family "tRNA". From Rfam's summary of the family: Transfer RNA (tRNA) molecules are approximately 80 nucleotides in length. Lineage: Archaea; Nanobdellati; Candidatus Aenigmatarchaeota. The record is from RNAcentral.